UACGAAGGGGACUAGCGUUGUUCGGAUUUACUGGGCGUAAAGCGCGCGUAGGCGGAUCGCUAAGUCAGGGGUGAAAUCCCGGGGCUCAACCUCGGAACUGCCUUUGAUACUGACGAUCUGGAGAUCGGGAGAGGUGAGUGGAAUUCCGAGUGUAGAGGUGAAAUUCGUAGAUAUUCGGAGGAACACCAGAAGCGAAGGCGGCUCACUGGCCCGAUACUGACGCUGAGGCGCGAAAGCGUGGGGAGCAAACAGG
Molecule: ribosomal RNA, 253 nt
Filed under: uncultured Alphaproteobacteria bacterium
Lineage: Bacteria; Pseudomonadati; Pseudomonadota; Alphaproteobacteria
Description: partial 16S ribosomal RNA
Rfam family: Bacterial small subunit ribosomal RNA
Source: RNAcentral